GCCCCUAUAGCUCAACGGACAGAGCGCGAGCCUCCGGAGCUCGAGAUAGAGGUUCGAUUCCUCUUAGGGGCGCAA
The sequence is a transfer RNA, 75 nucleotides long. It matches the Rfam family "tRNA". From Rfam's summary of the family: Transfer RNA (tRNA) molecules are approximately 80 nucleotides in length. Their secondary structure includes four short double-helical elements and three loops (D, anti-codon, and T loops).